This 307-nucleotide ribosomal RNA is filed under the name uncultured bacterium. RNAcentral's name for it is "bacterial SSU rRNA". It matches the Rfam family "Bacterial small subunit ribosomal RNA", at positions 30 to 337 of the family's 1533-position model. The record is from RNAcentral.
AUUGAACGCUGGCGGCAGGCUUAACACAUGCAAGUCGAGCGGAGAUGAGGUGCUUGCACCUUAUCUUAGCGGCGGACGGGUGAGUAAUGCUUAGGAAUCUGCCAUUUAGUGGGGGACAACAUUCCGAAAGGAAUGCUAAUACCGCAUACGUCCUACGGGAGAAAGCAGGGGAUCUUCGGACCUUGCGCUAAAUGAUGAGCCUAAGUCGGAUUAGCUAGUUGGUGGGGUAAAGGCCUACCAAGGCGACGAUCUGUAGCGGGUCUGAGAGGAUGAUCCGCCACACUGGGACUGAGACACGGCCCAGACU